This 455-nucleotide ribosomal RNA is filed under the name uncultured Clostridium sp. RNAcentral's name for it is "bacterial SSU rRNA". It matches the Rfam family "Bacterial small subunit ribosomal RNA", at positions 27 to 499 of the family's 1533-position model. Lineage: Bacteria; Bacillati; Bacillota; Clostridia; Eubacteriales; Clostridiaceae. The record is from RNAcentral.
GGACGAACGCUGGCGGCGUGCCUAACACAUGCAAGUCGAGCGAUGAAGUUUCUUCGGGAACGGAUUAGCGGCGGACGGGUGAGUAACACGUGGGCAACCUGCCUUAUAGAGGGGAAUAGCCUUCCGAAAGGAAGAUUAAUACCGCAUAAGAUUGUAGCUUCGCAUGAAGUAGCAAUUAAAGGAGUAAUCCGCUAUAAGAUGGGCCCGCGGCGCAUUAGCUAGUUGGUGAGGUAACGGCUCACCAAGGCGACGAUGCGUAGCCGACCUGAGAGGGUGAUCGGCCACAUUGGGACUGAGACACGGCCCAGACUCCUACGGGAGGCAGCAGUGGGGAAUAUUGCACAAUGGGGGAAACCCUGAUGCAGCAACGCCGCGUGAGUGAUGACGGCCUUCGGGUUGUAAAGCUCUGUCUUUGGGGACGAUAAUGACGGUACCUGAGGAGGAAGCCACGGCUA